CGCAUCACCCCUACCAGUGCCGAAGAGAAGUGUCAACGACGAUCGAGCCGAUUGGCAAAGCAGGGGAAAAUUUAGAAAAACUUGAAAGUCAUCCCGCUAGCAAGUCACGCCGACGUCGGGUAGUACGAAAAGUAGUAGAUUAUUUAGUUGUAGCCGAAUUUAUCUAAAUUAUAUCGGGCACCUGUACGCUUAAAGCGCGAGCUCGAUUAUACGAUUGUUAGAUCAGGC
Culex quinquefasciatus (southern house mosquito) is the source of this 228-nucleotide long non-coding RNA. RefSeq lists it as uncharacterized. NCBI's taxonomy places the organism in Eukaryota, Metazoa, Arthropoda, Insecta, Diptera, Culicidae. The transcript is spliced from 3 exons. The record is from RefSeq and is a predicted model, not a curated record.